Molecule: ribosomal RNA, 117 nt
Filed under: Escherichia coli
Lineage: Bacteria; Pseudomonadati; Pseudomonadota; Gammaproteobacteria; Enterobacterales; Enterobacteriaceae
Source: RNAcentral
CCUGGCGGCCGUAGCGCGGUGGUCCCACCUGACCCCAUGCCGAACUCAGAAGUGAAACGCCGUAGCGCCGAUGGUAGUGUGGGGUCUCCCCAUGCGAGAGUAGUGGCACGGCUGGGA